RNAcentral lists this long non-coding RNA (314 nucleotides) under Homo sapiens (human). Its description in RNAcentral is "HSALNT0344514". The record is from RNAcentral. Lineage: Eukaryota; Metazoa; Chordata; Mammalia; Primates; Hominidae.
GUCACAAUGGUGGACUGUCCAGGUGCUGGCUCGGGAGGGAGGUCCACGUCACAAUGGUGGACUGUCCGGGUAGUGGCUCGGGAGGGAGGUCCACGUCACAAUGGUGGACUGUCCAGGUACUGGCUCAGGAGGGAGGUCCACGUCACAAUGGUGGACUGUCCGGGUGCUGGCUCAGGAGGGAGGUCCACGUCACAAUGGUGGACUGUCCAGGUGCUGGCUCAGGAGGGAGGUCCACGUCACAAUGGUGGACUGUCCGGGUACUGGCUCGGGAGGGAGGUCCACGUCACAAUGGUGGACUGUCCAGGUGCUGGCUC